Molecule: long non-coding RNA, 338 nt
Filed under: Apteryx owenii (little spotted kiwi)
Lineage: Eukaryota; Metazoa; Chordata; Aves; Apterygiformes; Apterygidae
Description: lncRNA (ENSAOWG00000018906.1)
Source: RNAcentral
UGUUGUGCAUCUGUGCAGCUGCCAGACAGCCCUGCCUUUGGCUUUCCAUGGGCUGCUGUGGGUUGGGUCUUCUUGGGUGCGAAGUGCUGUGAGGAAUCUUGUCUGCUAUCGUAGCACACUAGCAGGUACCAAGUGCAUCAUGCUAAAGUAAGAUAUAGCUGUUGCCCACAUUUUUCCAAGCAAGAGGGAAGUUUUUCUGGAGAACUGCUGGCUCCAACUGUCCUUCCUCUGGGCAUCCAGAUACAUCAAACUGAAGCACGAAAUGACAGCAUCAAUGGAGAACCUGAGGCAAGCUCUACUCCUUUUUGCCCUCCUCCUAAUUCUCUUGCCUGCUUUAU